GUGAAUCAUCGAAUUUUUGAACGCAAAUUGCGCUUCCUGGUAUCCCGGGGAGUAUGCCUGUUUGAGGGUCAGUAUUAACAACAAUUCGGUGUAGUUUCAAAUUGUGACUUUUUCUGAGAUUGGGUUAUCUUAACAUUUUUGGUUAAGUGGCUUAAAAUUGACCUUUUUUGUGAAUUUUAAAACGUACAUAAAUUUUUUUUAUUCGUCUAUUCUUAAUGCCAAAAUAUUAUUAUUUACGACAACAUCGUA
Molecule: unclassified non-coding RNA, 249 nt
Filed under: Glomeraceae sp.
Lineage: Eukaryota; Fungi; Glomeromycota; Glomeromycetes; Glomerales; Glomeraceae
Description: partial contains 5.8S ribosomal RNA and internal transcribed spacer 2
Rfam family: 5.8S ribosomal RNA (bases 1-71)
Source: RNAcentral